Unclassified non-coding RNA from Panthera pardus (leopard), 195 nucleotides. The record is from Ensembl. Lineage: Eukaryota; Metazoa; Chordata; Mammalia; Carnivora; Felidae.
GGCUGAAUUGAGUGUCUUAGCAUGAAUUCUUAGCGCUCGCCGCCGCAAGAUAUGGUGGACGGAGCAGCUGCACAGAGUUCGCGGAUCCAGGGUGGUUGCACAAGCCAAGGUGGAACUGAUAACCAGCCGAGCCUCCGGCCGCAGCGCUGAUGCCAGUUAAGAACUGCCUCUCCGGGAUCGCCGCAGUGUACUUCU